Long non-coding RNA from Topomyia yanbarensis, 1261 nucleotides. RefSeq lists it as uncharacterized. The record is from RefSeq and is a predicted model, not a curated record. Lineage: Eukaryota; Metazoa; Arthropoda; Insecta; Diptera; Culicidae. The transcript is spliced from 3 exons.
AAACUUGCUCUUUGUGCGGAAAUUCGAAAAUAUCCUUGUUUGUAUCAAAUAACAAACAAGGAUUAUUCGAACAAAAUCGCCAAAGAUGCUAUUUGGCAUCAAAUUAGCUCUACUGUCUCGUUAUCCUUGAAUAGAUCCGUCACCGUUCUAGAGUGCCGGAAACAUUGGGAUGCUUUGAGGGAAUCGACCAGAAUUUAUUUGGAUAAGGCAAAAAUUAAUAAGAUUGCGGAUAAAUCCGGUGCUCCAGCAGAUAUGUUGGAUCUUUAUCAGGCGGACGGAUCUCAACGUUUCGAUAUAUACCAAGAACGAUGGCCGUUGGCGGAAGCCAUGAGCUUCUUUUUGCCUUCCUGUGCGCGAAAUGCUUUUACGAUUUCUAUUGGGGACUGCAAUUCAAAGACAACUCUGAAGAAAUCCCUAGAGCUUGAAGAAGAAGUGUUAUUGGAAGAAAAUGAGAGCUUCACAGUUCCGGCGACUCCAACGAGCCGAAAUCGAAAUCGCUCUUACAAGAAUGGCAACUCCGACGAGCUCUUGGAUGAAACGUUGUGCUCAGUAGCGUCAUCGUUGUCCAAGCUUGUGGAUUCUAGGAGUUCCACUGAAGAUGGGACUCAACUGAAAUUUAAAGAAUUUCACGUUGAGUUAGAUAAAGUACUGCGUCAGAUGCCAUUCAUGCAUGGCAUGCAGUUUUGCAUGGAUAUGGUGAAACGAGCGAAUGAAACUAUAGACAAUCUAAAACACCCAUAGAAUGUGAAAAUUUAACAUUAUUAUCGUUUUUGCCUUGUGCUACACCGGUGUAGUGUAGUGAGAGAUAGGCUGAUUACACCCAAGUUAGAGUGAAGUGAGUGAAGUACCUACUACACCGGUGUAGUGCACUGUCAACAUGAAAAUGACAUAAAACAGCAAUAAACUGUGCACUGAAUUCUAUGAUUCGAAGGUUAUGAUUUUGCAACAAGUUAUCACAAAUUCAAACGACCAAGCAGGAAACAAUAUCCAAACUCACUAGUCAUCAAAGUCCUCAAGCAAACAGAAUGGUAUUGAAGAAGUCCAAUUUCAGUAUUUGAGCUAUUUAUUUAAGACGGACUGCUGGAGAUACCAUGACGAAAGGUUUGCUUAAGCGAAUAACCCGCAAAUCACAUUCUAGGCGAACUAACCUUAACAAUUGUUAAGGUUGGUAUUUAACGGACUCAUCGCGGUAGUUAAGAUAUACGCAUUCGAUAUUAAGAUAUAACGAAGCAGAUGCACUUCAUUAUAAAGUCCUAGAUUC